Molecule: ribosomal RNA, 484 nt
Filed under: uncultured bacterium
Lineage: Bacteria
Description: bacterial SSU rRNA
Rfam family: Bacterial small subunit ribosomal RNA
Source: RNAcentral
GAUGAACGCUGGCGGCGUGCCUAAUACAUGCAAGUCGAACGAGGUGCUUUUGUAGCAAUACGAGAGUAUCCUAGUGGCGAACGGGUGAGUAACGCGUUGGUGACCUACCCCAAAGUGUGGGAUAACAGUCCGAAAGGAUUGCUAAUACCGCAUGUGGUCUUCGGAUUUAGAAACUGAUGACUAAAGGAGCAAUUCGCUUUGGGAGGGACCUGCGUCCCAUCAGCUAGUUGGUGAGGUAAUGGCUCACCAAGGCUACGACGGGUAGGGGACCUGAGAGGGUGACCCCCCCACAAUGGAACUGAAACACGGUCCAUACACCUACGGGUGGCAGCAGUAGGGAAUAUUGCACAAUGGGCGAAAGCCUGAUGCAGCAACGCCGCGUGUGCGAUGAAGGCCUUCGGGUCGUAAAGCACUUUUCUGGGAGAUGAGCAAGGACAGUAUCUCAGGAAUAAGUCUCGGCUAACUACGUGCCAGCAGCCGCGGU